AGCGCUAUCGUCUAGAGGUAAGACAACACAUGGUAAAUCAACAUCUGUGCAAACGAUGGUUCGAUUCCAUCUGGCGCUG
This is a non-coding RNA of Hypoxylon sp. FL1150, 79 nucleotides long. The record is from the annotation of a GenBank genome assembly. NCBI's taxonomy places the organism in Eukaryota, Fungi, Ascomycota, Sordariomycetes, Xylariales, Hypoxylaceae.